AACGAACGCUGGCGGCGUGCCUAACACAUGCAAGUCGUGCGAGAAAGUUCCUUCGGGAGCGAGUAAAGCGGCGCACGGGUGAGUAACACGUAGGUAACCUGCCCCCCAGUCUGGAACAACUAGAGGAAACUCUAGCUAAUGCCGGAUAAGACCACGGCCCCCUCGGGGGCUGCGGCCAAAGAUGGCCUCUACUUGUACGCUAUCGCUGAGGGAUGGGCCUGCGGCCAUAGCUUGUUGGUGAGGUAACGGCUCACCAAGGCUGUGAUGGCUAGC
This 273-nucleotide ribosomal RNA is filed under the name uncultured bacterium. RNAcentral's name for it is "partial 16S ribosomal RNA". It matches the Rfam family "Bacterial small subunit ribosomal RNA", at positions 29 to 287 of the family's 1533-position model. The record is from RNAcentral.